Molecule: long non-coding RNA, 729 nt
Organism: Manis pentadactyla (Chinese pangolin)
Lineage: Eukaryota; Metazoa; Chordata; Mammalia; Pholidota; Manidae
Exons: 2
Source: RefSeq, a predicted model, not a curated record
GCGAAGCUGGGGAGGAAUUUCAAUCCCCGGAGCGAAGUUAGAGCUUGAAGGACGGCGGCGGCGGCGGGCGCAGUCCCGGAACGGCGGCCAGCGGGCAGAUUCUGUUACUAUUACAAGAAUAUUCACAGCAGUCUGGAGUGGAGACAGCACAAACGUCCCCCCACCGGGGCAGAACCCGCUGUGACGAUGCCGCAGGACUGCACACAGAGGGGGCAGGUGGCCACUGCGCAGAGCCCCAAGUGAGCCACAGAGGCAGCCGGCCGCAGAAGGGCACCUGCCAAGCAGCUCCCAUGGGUUCUGUUGUUAGUAAGCUGUGACUCCUAGCCCCACCCCAGACAGAUUAAAAACAGAAAGAAAAUACCUUACUGUUCUGUAUCUUUUAUCUUAAAUAUUUAAUACUCUGGAAUGUAUUUUGGCCUGGCAGAUGAAGUAGGUGUCUUAGAAACUCCUUCCAAAUGGUUGACCAGACAUUCAACACCAUUACUGAACGAUCCAUCCCAUAGAGAUCGACCACUGAUCCUCAUCUGCGCUGCGUCUGUUCCUGGGCCCUGAGUUCCCACUCGUCGAUCUGUCUUUUCCUACCCAGAUUCAUGUUUUAGCUUAGUUAGUGAUGCAUUUUACUAUCUGACAGGGUAAGCCCCCUCCAUUAUUCUUUUAUAUUUUUGAAUUUUUCUUGGCUGUUCUCACAGGUAUAUUCUUCCAGAUGAACAUUAAAAUCAUUAUAUCAUA